CGGCGUGCUUAACACAUGCAAGUCGAAACGCGAAAGGGACUUCGGUCCUGAGUAAAGUGGCGCACGGGUGAGUAACGCGUAGAUAACCUGUCUUCAUGGUCUGGAAUAAUACGCCGAAAGGGGUACUAAUACCGGAUAUUCUUGCUUUUCAUAAGUUAUGCAAGCAAAGGUGGCCUCUGCAUAUGCUACUGCAUGAAGAGGGGUCUGCGUACCAUUAGCUAGUAGGUGGGGUAAUGGCCUACCUAGGCGACGAUGGUUAGCGGGUCUGAGAGGAUGAUCCGCCACACUGGCACUGGAACACGGGCCAGACUCCUACGGGAGGCAGCAGUGAGGAAUAUUGCGCAAUGGGGGAAACCCUGACGCAGCGACGCCGCGUGAGUGAAGGAAGGCCUUCGGGUCGUAAAGCUCUGUCAAGAGGAAAGAAGUGUACAAUGGCUAAUACCUGUUGUAUUUGACGGUACCUCUAAAGGAAGCACCGGCUAACUCCGUGCCAGCAGCUGC
Molecule: ribosomal RNA, 501 nt
Filed under: uncultured bacterium
Lineage: Bacteria
Description: bacterial SSU rRNA
Rfam family: Bacterial small subunit ribosomal RNA
Source: RNAcentral